This 125-nucleotide small RNA is filed under the name Marmota monax (woodchuck). Lineage: Eukaryota; Metazoa; Chordata; Mammalia; Rodentia; Sciuridae. The record is from RNAcentral.
GCCGGGUGCAGUGGCGCACUCCUGUAAUCUCAGCAGCUCAGGAGACUGAGACAGGAGAAUCACGAGUUCAAAGCCAGCCUCAGCAACAGUGAGGUGCUAAGCAACUCAGUGAGACCCUGCCUCUA